GAUGAAGAACGUAGUGAAAUGCGAUAAGUAAUGCGAAUUGCAGAAUUCCGUGAGUCAUCGAAUCUUUGAACGCACAUUGCGCCCUCUGGUAUUCCGGAGGGCAUGCCUGUCUGAGCGUCAUUGUCAACCCUCAAGCUCAGCUUGCUGUUGGGUCCCCGUCGUUGCUUUAACGGCGGACCCGAAAGGUAAUGGCAGAGUCCGUGAGACCCUAGACGCAGCGAGCUUCUAGCACGCGUCUGGACGUUUUUCGGGCUCGGUCUUAACUAGAUGAUAACUUCCGAUUGACCUCAGAUCAGGUAGGGAUACCCGCUGAACUUAAGCAUAUCAAUACGCGGAGGA
Molecule: unclassified non-coding RNA, 339 nt
Filed under: soil metagenome
Description: partial contains 5.8S ribosomal RNA, internal transcribed spacer 2, and large subunit ribosomal RNA
Rfam family: 5.8S ribosomal RNA (bases 1-120)
Source: RNAcentral